Myotis lucifugus (little brown bat) is the source of this 80-nucleotide microRNA precursor. Lineage: Eukaryota; Metazoa; Chordata; Mammalia; Chiroptera; Vespertilionidae. The record is from Ensembl.
UGGGCAUCCGCUGAGUACCGCCAUGUCUGUUGGGCAUCCACAAUCUUCCACCAGGCUUUGUGGUCUCUACUGAUGCUCUG